GUCCGCAAGCUUAGCCCGGGAGAGCGCGGGACUGAAGACGAUGACAAGAAGACCUCUGUUAUCGACAUAGAUCCCGUUGUCCGGAGAGUCUUGAUCAAAAUAGAUUAAGGCCCGGUAUUCAAAUCUCCGCCGCGACACCA
RNAcentral lists this transfer RNA (140 nucleotides) under Candidatus Heimdallarchaeota archaeon. Its description in RNAcentral is "tRNA-Phe". Lineage: Archaea; Promethearchaeati; Candidatus Heimdallarchaeota. The record is from RNAcentral.